GACGAACGCUGGCGGCGUGCUUAACACAUGCAAGUCGAACGAUGAAGCUCUAGCUUGCUGGGGUGGAUUAGUGGCGAACGGGUGAGUAACACGUGAGUAACCUGCCCUUUACUUCGGGAUAAGCUUGGGAAACUGGGUCUAAUACCGGAUAUUCUGCGUGAUCGGAUGGUUGUGUAGGAAAGAUUUUUGGUAAGGGAUGGGCUCGCGGCCUAUCAGUUUGUUGGUGGGGUGAUGGCCUACCAAGACGACGACGGGUAGCCGGCCUGAGAGGGCGACCGGCCACACUGGGACUGAGACACGGCCCAGACUCCUACGGGAGGCAGCAGUGGGGAAUAUUGCACAAUGGGGGAAACCCUGAUGCAGCGACGCCGCGUGGGGGAUGACGGCCUUCGGGUUGUAAACCUCUUUCAGUAGGGAAGAAGCGAAAGUGACGGUACCUGCAGAAGAAGUACCGGCUAACUACGUGCCAGCAGCCGCGGUAAUACGUAGGGUACUAGCGUUGUCCGGAAUUAUUGGGCGUAAAGAGCUCGUAGGUGGUUUGUCGCGUCUGCUGUGGAAACGUGCCGCUUAACGGUGCGCGUGCAGUGGGUACGGGCGGACUAGAGUGCAGUAGGGGAGUCUGGAAUUCCUGGUGUAGCGGUGAAAUGCGCAGAUAUCAGGAGGAACACCGGUGGCGAAGGCGGGACUCUGGGCUGUUACUGACGCUGAGGAGCGAAAGCAUGGGGAGCGAACAGGAUUAGAUACCCUGGUAGUCCAUGCCGUAAACGUUGGGCACUAGGUGUGGGGUCCAUUCCACGGAUUCUGCGCCGUAGCUAACGCAUUAAGUGCCCCGCCUGGGGAGUACGGCCGCAAGGCUAAAACUCAAAGGAAUUGACGGGGGCCCGCACAAGCGGCGGAGCAUGCGGAUUAAUUCGAUGCAACGCGAAGAACCUUACCAAGGCUUGACAUGCACUAGACCAUCGCAGAGAUGUGGUUUUCUUUUUGACUGGUGUACAGGUGGUGCAUGGUUGUCGUCAGCUCGUGUCGUGAGAUGUUGGGUUAAGUCCCGCAACGAGCGCAACCCUCGUUCUAUGUUGCCAGCACGUGAUGGUGGGAACUCAUGGGAGACUGCCGGGGUCAACUCGGAGGAAGGUGGGGAUGACGUCAAAUCAUCAUGCCCUUUAUGUCUUGGGCUUCACGCAUGCUACAAUGGCCGGUACAGAGGGUGGCGAUACCGUGAGGUGGAGCGAAUCUCUUAAAGCCGGUCUCAGUUCGGAUCGUAGUCUGCAACUCGACUACGUGAAGUCGGAGUCGCUAGUAAUCGCAGAUCAGCAAUGCUGCGGUGAAUACGUUCCCGGGCCU
This 1341-nucleotide ribosomal RNA is filed under the name uncultured bacterium. Its description in RNAcentral is "bacterial SSU rRNA". It matches the Rfam family "Bacterial small subunit ribosomal RNA", at positions 28 to 1381 of the family's 1533-position model. The record is from RNAcentral.